Molecule: long non-coding RNA, 1538 nt
Organism: Xenopus laevis (African clawed frog)
Lineage: Eukaryota; Metazoa; Chordata; Amphibia; Anura; Pipidae
Exons: 2
Source: RefSeq, a predicted model, not a curated record
AGAAAUGAAGACCAGAGGGGAAGACAGAGAUGAAGCUGAACUCUAUUCCCCUGCCUUUUUGAUUUGUUCCCUACAGUGCACACUCAAUAGGCCGUGGGAAUAAUGAAGAAAGAGGUCCCAGCUGCAGGUCAGAUAGUGAACUACCCACACAGCAAGUGGAUUUUAGCAUUUCAAUUCAAUCCAGUCAGUUGGCAAGCACAGAGACCAACCCAACUGACCAACCCCAUUUCUAUGUGUGCAGCCAACUUUCUUUUUUUGUCAAGUGGAGUUCAGCAGGACAGUGAGGCGGAGGGAUCCAUGAGGAACGUGCAAGAACAUCAGCCGGACCUUUAUUCAUGUUGCUUGGCCUGGUUCUUCCAUCUGACUCCACUAUUGCUGUGGUUGUCAAAACAUUUUCAGUUUUCAAGCCCCCAGUGCAGGUCCAACAUUUGUCCAGGGCCCCUCAGCUCAUGAAACGGAUAAACAUAAAGGAAUAUCUGUAGCCCUAGGGGUUCCAGCCACACAGCUUUGGAAACCACUGCUCUAUCAUAAGGGAACGGGGGAAAAGGGAGAGAGAAGUGUGCGUCUGGAUUUGAAACCACUAUUAUUAAACAGUAUUUGUAUGUAAUAUAUAUGUUUUCAUUAUUACUUAUCUUUCCUAUUCAUAGUCUCUUAUUGUGUUCUGUCAGUCAGCCUGGUUGUUAGGGUAAAUAGGACCCUAGCUACCAGAGAGCGGCUGAGAUUCCAAAAGAGGGGGCUUGUGCGCCCACUGGGCAUAUAGCUCUUUACUAUACUAUUGAUAGGCCACAGUUCAUUGCUUUGCAGUGUGUAUAUUUUGCUAGCCAAUACCUCACUACCACUGAUUUCAAGUGAGUCAUGUGAUCAUAGGGCAGCCGUUACUUCCUGUCAGAGUGGCAGCCAUUUUCUACCUUGUUCAAUUGUUCAAAAAGUUAAAUUGUUCGAAAAAAAUAAAAUAACCGAAGACCAACUUCAACUUGUCUCACCAUCAGGAUCCCAUUAAAUUAAACUGAAAGAUGAACGACCCCUUGAGCUGGAUCGGUGAAAGGGAAGCCAAUAAUAUUGCGCUACUUUUACACUUUGCUUUAACCUGUAUUAAAGAAAAAUGGGGGUCAAAUCAUUGUUCAGAAGUGAGAACACAAAUAAAUGAGACUUGUGGGUACAGUGAAUGCAUUUUGUUUAUUUGAGAAGGAAGAUCUCAACUGAGUGCCGAAACAAACACAGGCAUCUCAAUUGUGUACGACAAAUUUCCACCGUUGCUCUGAGCAGAAUAUACAAAAAUACACAUCUCCGUGACCUCCAUACAAUAAUAAAUAUGUCAUGAUGCAUCCAACAAUAAAAGGCACAGAAAACUGGUCACUUAGUAGUCAUAAAAAUUACUAAACGGCAUUAACAAAGCCACCCAAUGUCUGUACAGGGAAUUGUAACAUCAUAUUCCAAAAUUGAAAACACACAAAACUGUUUUUGUUUUAAAAUAGUAUGCAAUAAAUACCGUAAAAUUGUAUAUAUUAAAAAUAAAAACUGUGCCAUUGUAAACAUUA